UUAAGCCACGCCCCCUUUCAUAGCUGGUGACCCCUUUAAGGUAGAGUCUUGUGUGAGGUAUCAUUGAACUCAGCAGGGAGUUCCCUUUUCAUUGGUGACGAUUUGCGGUGCCUGAGUGCCACGCAAAUGCACGGUCGCAAAGAGCGGCGUCUGCCAGUAACCCUGACGCGCGCAGAGGAGCGAGGGCCCGUCCAACGCAGCUUGCAGCUUUGAUUGUCUUUGCUUUUGUUUUCAGUUUA
Molecule: long non-coding RNA, 239 nt
Organism: Sander lucioperca (pikeperch)
Lineage: Eukaryota; Metazoa; Chordata; Actinopteri; Perciformes; Percidae
Exons: 3
Source: RefSeq, a predicted model, not a curated record